Hordeum vulgare subsp. vulgare (domesticated barley) is the source of this 124-nucleotide non-coding RNA. The record is from Rfam. NCBI's taxonomy places the organism in Eukaryota, Viridiplantae, Streptophyta, Magnoliopsida, Poales, Poaceae.
GUAUUACUCCCUCCGUCCGGAAAUACUUGUCCUAAAGAUGUACAAAAUGAAUGUAUCUAUAAUUAAAAUAAGUCUAGAUACAUCUAUUUGUAAGGCAAGUAUUUUCGAACGGAGUGAGUACUUA